UGACCCCACGGCGCUAGCCGGCCUGGUGGCCUCUCAGGCCUGGCCGCCAUACACCCACCCACCAACGGCCACCAAACCACCCCGGCGGCACAAUCUCUUCGGGUGUUCCAACGCGGCGCCCCCUA
Dasypus novemcinctus (nine-banded armadillo) is the source of this 125-nucleotide unclassified non-coding RNA. The record is from Ensembl. NCBI's taxonomy places the organism in Eukaryota, Metazoa, Chordata, Mammalia, Cingulata, Dasypodidae.